Molecule: long non-coding RNA, 896 nt
Organism: Quercus lobata
Lineage: Eukaryota; Viridiplantae; Streptophyta; Magnoliopsida; Fagales; Fagaceae
Exons: 4
Source: RefSeq, a predicted model, not a curated record
AAAGUAGUUUUACUGUUCAAAAAAGUAUGGAAUCAUCGCAAAAGAAAAAUAAAUUUAGUAUCUCCUUGUUUGUGGUAGACUGUUCAAGACACCAUCAACGUUGGAACAGAAACUGCAGCUGCACUCAAGGAUCAGACUGAACAAAUGAGUCAGGCUGUUAAGUGUUAAUGAGCUGGACUAUCCAUUUCUCGAUCAAGAAAGCUUCUCAACUUGUGAAGGAACUUGGUAGGCAGGUUGCAACUGAUAGGUGUAUUAUGGCAUUACUCUUCCUAAUUAUUGCCAUUGGAGUCAUAGCUAUCAUUAUUGUAAAGAUUGGGUUUAAUAAGAAUUUUAUCUUUUAGGAGGGACAAUCAUGGCACGGGGAUUGAGGUCCCUAUUGAGGUGGAAAAAAGGAUGCAUAUUUAUUACAUUCGGAACAGAGGGUUUGGUAACAGAUUUAAUGUGUUGGGUGAUGACAAUCAUGGCACUCCGAAUGACUUAACGCAAUGACCCAGAAAUCAAGAAGGCAUGUGACUCAUACAGUGAUCAUUUUGGACAGUUCUUCAAACUGAUAUUCUAUGGCAUCCAAAAGGUAUCAUGAUUAUGCAUGAACAGCAAAACAGUCUCUUAUUAAUUUGUCGUUGAACUUGGGAUUAUUACUACAAAUGUUCAACUUGAGUCAAAGGGAUGUCCUAAUUAUUGCAUUGGAGAUCUUAAACCGAAAUCUCAAAUUGUAUUUAGGAGCAGUACUAGUAGAAGUUGGCUGUACAAAGUCAAAGCUUGUGUGCUUGCAUUUAUAGUGACUUGAUGUGAAGAGUGUGGAAGGAAGAAAAGAAGAAAAAUGUGUGAAAUAAAAGGAAAGGCCAUUCGGCCAUGGGUCUCCAGUUUCUACAUGACCACAUUCAUUUUUUUCUAAA